Molecule: long non-coding RNA, 1114 nt
Organism: Loxodonta africana (African savanna elephant)
Lineage: Eukaryota; Metazoa; Chordata; Mammalia; Proboscidea; Elephantidae
Exons: 4
Source: RefSeq, a predicted model, not a curated record
AGAUCUGGAAAAAGGUGGGGUCUGUCAGCAGCUGCCCCACCCCAUCUCCCCAGCUAAGGGACCCCCGUCCCUCCUCCCUUCUUGAGACCCAGGACCCAGGCAUUUGGGUCCUUGUAGGUCUGUUUUCACCCCUCAGGUAUUUCUCUGCCUAUGACAAGCUGGAUGCAACCCAAAAGGAGGGAAAGGGCCCAGAUGCAUAGCCAAUGCUUCUCCCACAGCAGCUACGUUGGCUAUAGGACACAAAGGCAGGUAGAAGCUCCUUAUCCAUUCUCAGGGGAGGACAGAUAUCCUGUGUUUGUGUGUAUGUGUGAGACAGACAGACGAACAGACAGCAGACUGGUGUCAUGCACAAUGCAUUAAGGGAGUGGAAUUUCAGCCACAGACGAAAACUGAGGUUUCAGGAAAAAGUGCUUGAAAUGAACUCCUGGGCUGAAACCACCUGAUCUUCCCUCCCAGACACCCUCUCUGUGACCCGGAACCCCCAUCAGACACACGGACCAUGCUUGCUCUUUAGGGCAGGGGCUUGUGUUUCUGCCUUCCCUGGGCACAGCCCCCCCAACCAGCUGCCCACCCUGAGAAGCACCCCACAUCCAACUCACAGGAAUGCAAGCACUCCACGAUGGUAGUGGCAUCGAUGAAAUACCCGCCACAGAGGGCACACAUGAGCCCAUCCAAUCCUCCUCCAGGAAGCCCUUCCUGGAAACACUAUGGGCACAGGCUGCCUAAAUUUGAAGAGGGCACCCAUCAUAUGUUUCUCUGGCUCUGAAUCCUGCCCAGGCCCCGGAGCAUCUCUCUCCUCUAAGGGCCACUGGAUAGACAGGAAGCUCCCUCGAAACCCACCAUACGCUGACCAUUCGAGUCCAGGCCUGGUCCUCAGGCAGGGACUACUGAAGAUGAUUUCUACAUGCCUGAAGUUGGGAACACACAGCUCCCGCCUGACCCCAGGCCCACCCCCAGAUUCUGCAGGUAAAGGCAGUCAAAGAACCAGGGCAAGAAGACUGCUACCACCCCCUCCACAGGAAUCCCCUCCACGGCCCACAAGCCCACACAUGCUCCAGGACCCCUCUUGUGGACACACAGGAAAGUUUCCCCAUAUGGGCACUGCCACCGUUUC